This 481-nucleotide ribosomal RNA is filed under the name uncultured bacterium. RNAcentral's name for it is "bacterial SSU rRNA". It matches the Rfam family "Bacterial small subunit ribosomal RNA", at positions 27 to 507 of the family's 1533-position model. The record is from RNAcentral.
GGACGAACGCUGGCGGCGUGCUUAAUACAUGCAAGUCAACUUGACUUUAGAUAGCAAUAUCGAAAAGUAGGGUGGCGCACGGGUGCGUAACGCGUAGGUAAUCUGCCCUGAGGUCUGACAUAACCCGUCGAAAGGCGGGCUAACAUCAGAUGAUAUAUAAUCACGACAUCGUGGAAAUAUCAAAUCUUCGGAGCCUUGGGAUGAGCCUGCGUCUGAUUAGGUAGUUGGCGGAGUAAUAGCCCACCAAGCCUACGAUCAGUAGCUGGUCUGAGAGGAUGAUCAGCCACACUGGAACUGAGACACGGUCCAGACUCCUACGGGAGGCAGCAGUAAGGAAUAUUGCUCAAUGGGGGGAAACCCUGAAGCAGCAACGCCGCGUGAAGGAUGAAAUACUUUGUAUGUAAACUUCUGUAAGAUGGGAAAAAUAUUCUCCUCGGGAGAAUUGAUUGUACCAUCAGAGUAAGCCCCGGCUAACUACGUG